RNAcentral lists this ribosomal RNA (610 nucleotides) under Hansenula anomala. RNAcentral describes it as "eukaryotic LSU rRNA". It matches the Rfam family "Eukaryotic large subunit ribosomal RNA", at positions 34 to 657 of the family's 3401-position model. Lineage: Eukaryota; Fungi; Ascomycota; Saccharomycetes; Phaffomycetales; Wickerhamomycetaceae. The record is from RNAcentral.
UUUUGCAUAUCCAAUAGCGGAGGAAAAGAAACCAACAGGGAUUGCCUCAGUAACGGCGAGUGAAGCGGCAAAAGCUCAAAUUUGAAAUCUAGCACCUUCGGUGUUCGAGUUGUAAUUUGAAGAUGGUAACCUUGGGUUUGGCUCUUGUCUAUGUUCCUUGGAACAGGACGUCAUAGAGGGUGAGAAUCCCGUCUGAUGAGAUGCCCAUUCCUAUGUAAGGUGCUAUCGAAGAGUCGAGUUGUUUGGGAAUGCAGCUCUAAGUGGGUGGUAAAUUCCAUCUAAAGCUAAAUAUUGGCGAGAGACCGAUAGCGAACAAGUACAGUGAUGGAAAGAUGAAAAGAACUUUGAAAAGAGAGUGAAAAAGUACGUGAAAUUGUUGAAAGGGAAGGGCAUUAGAUCAGACUUGGUGUUUUACGAUUAUCUUCUCUUCUUGAGUUGUGCACUCGUAUUUCACUGGGCCAGCAUCGAUUCGGAUGGCAAGAUAAUGGCAGUUGAAUGUGGCUUCACUUCGGUGGAGUGUUAUAGCUUCUGCUGAUAUUGCCUGUCUGGAUCGAGGGCUGCGUCUUUUGACUAGGAUGCUGGCGUAAUGAUCUAAUGCCGCCCGUCUUAA